This 244-nucleotide long non-coding RNA is filed under the name Solanum tuberosum (potato). Its description in RNAcentral is "long non-coding RNA (STUB_LNC007263)". Lineage: Eukaryota; Viridiplantae; Streptophyta; Magnoliopsida; Solanales; Solanaceae. The record is from RNAcentral.
CUAAACAUUAAGAAGCCCUAAAUCCUAUAAACAACAAAAAAAAAACCUCAAACCCAUUUUAAACCCCUACAAAAUCCUAAGUUGUAAACCCUAAGGUUCACUCUCUCGAGCUAAACCUCAUGUCGACCCUAAAACCCUAAAUAAAUCCCUAAACCUUAAACCCUAACCUAGAGUUCUAAAUCCUAGACUUAAAACCCUAAACUAUAAACCCUAUCAAGCCUUAAAUCGUAUAUGCUAAACCCUA